RNAcentral lists this ribosomal RNA (257 nucleotides) under Salmonella enterica. RNAcentral describes it as "partial 16S ribosomal RNA". It matches the Rfam family "Bacterial small subunit ribosomal RNA", at positions 1 to 256 of the family's 1533-position model. The record is from RNAcentral. Lineage: Bacteria; Pseudomonadati; Pseudomonadota; Gammaproteobacteria; Enterobacterales; Enterobacteriaceae.
AAAUUGAAGAGUUUGAUCAUGGCUCAGAUUGAACGCUGGCGGCAGGCCUAACACAUGCAAGUCGAACGGUAGCACAGAGAGCUUGCUCUCGGGUGACGAGUGGCGGACGGGUGAGUAAUGUCUGGGAAACUGCCUGAUGGAGGGGGAUAACUACUGGAAACGGUGGCUAAUACCGCAUAACGUCGCAAGACCAAAGAGGGGGACCUUCGGGCCUCUUGCCAUCAGAUGUGCCCAGAUGGGAUUAGCUUGUUGGUGAG